Small nuclear RNA from Heterocephalus glaber (naked mole-rat), 125 nucleotides. Its record names the gene U2. It matches the Rfam family "U2 spliceosomal RNA". Rfam says of the family: U2 is a small nuclear RNA (snRNA) component of the spliceosome (involved in pre-mRNA splicing). Complementary binding between U2 snRNA (in an area lying towards the 5' end but 3' to hairpin I) and the branchpoint sequence (BPS) of the intron results the bulging out of an unpaired adenosine, on the BPS, which initiates a nucleophilic attack at the intronic 5' splice site, thus starting the first of two transesterification reactions that mediate splicing. The record is from Ensembl. NCBI's taxonomy places the organism in Eukaryota, Metazoa, Chordata, Mammalia, Rodentia, Bathyergidae.
CUUGCUUCUCGGCCUUUUGGCUAAGAUCAAGUGUAGUAUUUGUUCUUAUCAGUUUAAAAUAUAACUAGGCAACUUCCUACCUCAGCAUCUUUGUACUUGCUGUUUCUUCUGCUUGGAAAAUUCCU